This 420-nucleotide ribosomal RNA is filed under the name uncultured bacterium. Its description in RNAcentral is "bacterial SSU rRNA". It matches the Rfam family "Bacterial small subunit ribosomal RNA", at positions 362 to 774 of the family's 1533-position model. The record is from RNAcentral.
UAUUGGACAAUGGGCGAAAGCCUGAUCCAGCCAUGCCGCGUGUGUGAAGAAGGUCUUCGGAUUGUAAAGCACUUUAAGUUGGGAGGAAGGGCAGUUUCCUAAUACGAAAUUGUUUUGACGUUACCGACAGAAUAAGCACCGGCUAACUCUGUGCCAGCAGCCGCGGUAAUACAGAGGGUGCAAGCGUUAAUCGGAAUUACUGGGCGUAAAGCGCGCGUAGGUGGUUUGUUAAGUUGAAUGUGAAAUCCCCGGGCUCAACCUGGGAACUGCAUCCAAAACUGGCAAGCUAGAGUAGGGCAGAGGGUGGUGGAAUUUCCUGUGUAGCGGUGAAAUGCGUAGAUAUAGGAAGGAACACCAGUGGCGAAGGCGACCACCUGGGCUCAUACUGACACUGAGGUGCGAAAGCGUGGGGAGCAAACA